GUGAAUCAUCGAAUUUUUGAACGCAAAUUGCACUCCCUGGUAUUCCGGGGAGUAUGCCUGUUUGAGGGUCGUUAGAACAAAAGUCGAGGCGUCGCGCUUUUUUUUUUUAAGGGUGAUCGCGUCGGAAUUGGGCCGUCUUGCAAAUGGUACUUCAUGGCAAAGUGGCUUGAAAUGAAUCCAUCCGGGACGAUUAAAGCGUGUUUAAGAGAAACUUU
RNAcentral lists this unclassified non-coding RNA (215 nucleotides) under Glomeraceae sp. Its description in RNAcentral is "partial contains 5.8S ribosomal RNA and internal transcribed spacer 2". The stretch from base 1 to 71 matches the Rfam family "5.8S ribosomal RNA", at positions 84 to 154 of the family's 154-position model. The record is from RNAcentral. Lineage: Eukaryota; Fungi; Glomeromycota; Glomeromycetes; Glomerales; Glomeraceae.